This 253-nucleotide ribosomal RNA is filed under the name uncultured bacterium. RNAcentral describes it as "partial 16S ribosomal RNA". It matches the Rfam family "Bacterial small subunit ribosomal RNA", at positions 524 to 776 of the family's 1533-position model. The record is from RNAcentral.
UACGAAGGGGGCUAGCGUUGCUCGGAAUCACUGGGCGUAAAGGGAACGUAGGCGGCUUUCUAAGUCAGGGGGGAAAUCCUGGAGCUCAACUCCAGAACUGCCUUUGAUACUGGAGAGCUUGAGUCCGGGAGAGGUGAGUGGAACUCCGAGUGUAGAGGUGAAAUUCGUAGAUAUUCGGAAGAACACCAGUGGCGAAGGCGGCUCACUGGCCCGGUACUGACGCUGAGGUGCGAAAGCGUGGGGAGCAAACAGG